This 1442-nucleotide ribosomal RNA is filed under the name uncultured Prochlorococcus sp. Its description in RNAcentral is "bacterial SSU rRNA". It matches the Rfam family "Bacterial small subunit ribosomal RNA". The record is from RNAcentral. Lineage: Bacteria; Bacillati; Cyanobacteriota; Cyanophyceae; Synechococcales; Prochlorococcaceae.
GAGUUUGCUCCUGGCUCAGGAUGAACGCUGGCGGCGUGCUUAACACAUGCAAGUCGAACGAACCUUCGGGUUAGUGGCGGACGGGUGAGUAACGCGUGAGAAUCUGCCCUCAGGAGGGGGAUAACGGUUGGAAACGACCGCUAAUACCCCAUAUGCCUACUGGUGAAAUGAAUUUCGCCUGAGGAUGAGCUCGCGUCUGAUUAGCUAGUUGGUGAGGUAAUGGCUCACCAAGGCUUCGAUCAGUAGCUGGUCUGAGAGGAUGAUCAGCCACACUGGGACUGAGACACGGCCCAGACUCCUACGGGAGGCAGCAGUGGGGAAUUUUCCGCAAUGGGCGAAAGCCUGACGGAGCAACGCCGCGUGAGGGACGAAGGCCUCUGGGCUGUAAACCUCUUUUCUCAAGCCCCCCCCAUAUGACGGUACUUGAGGAAUAAGCCACGGCUAAUUCCGUGCCAGCAGCCGCGGUAAUACGGGAGUGGCAAGCGUUAUCCGGAAUUAUUGGGCGUAAAGCGUCCGCAGGCGGCUUUUCAAGUCUGCUGUUAAAGCGUGGAGCUUAACUCCAUCAUGGCAGUGGAAACUGAAAGGCUUGAGUAUGGUAGGGGCAGAGGGAAUUCCCGGUGUAGCGGUGAAAUGCGUAGAUAUCGGGAAGAACACCAGUGGCGAAGGCGCUCUGCUGGGCCAUUACUGACGCUCAUGGACGAAAGCCAGGGGAGCGAAAGGGAUUAGAUACCCCUGUAGUCCUGGCCGUAAACGAUGAACACUAGGUGUCGGGGGAAUCGACCCCUUCGGUGUCGUAGCUAACGCGUUAAGUGUUCCGCCUGGGGAGUACGCACGCAAGUGUGAAACUCAAGGAAUUGACGGGGGCCCGCACAAGCGGUGGAGUAUGUGGUUUAAUUCGAUGCAACGCGAAGAACCUUACCAGGGUUUGACAUCUUAGGUACUUCUUAGAAAUUUGAGGGUGCAUUCUGUAAUGCAGUGACAGGUGGUGCAUGGGCGUCGUCAGUUCGUUUCUUGAGAUGUUGGGUUAAGUCCCGCAACGAGCGCAACCCACGUUUUUAGUUGCCAGUCAUUAGUUGGGCAAUGGAGAGAGACCGCCGGUGAUAAACCGGAGGAAGGUGCGGAUGACGUCAAGUCAUCAUGCCCCUUCCACCCUGGGCUACACACGUCAUACAAUGCUACGGACAAAGGGCAGCAAACUAGCGAGAGCUAGCAAAUCCCAUAAACCGUGGCUCAGUUCAGAUCGUAGGAUUCAACUCGCCUACGUCAAGUAGGAAUCAUUUGUAAUCGCAGGUCAGCAUCAUGCGGCGAAUACGUUCCCCGCCCUUGUACACACCGCCCGUCACACCAUGGAAGUUCCCCACGCCCGAAGUCGUUACUCCAACCCUUGUGGAGGAGGACGCCGAAGGGGCGGGUAAUGACUGGGGUGAAGUCGUAACAAGGUA